CAAGUUUUUCUAAAAAGUUGAGAAAUGUAUACAAUCCACAAUCCAUACAUCCUUGCAAUUAAUGUCAAUUUAAAGCACCUCAUCCAAAAUUUUAGUUUCAUUAGUUACAUUAGUAACUUUAUCCUGUAAACUAGUUCGGAUUCUCCGGCCUAAAUAUUAUGGAUAACUCCGUGUUCCUUACAUUUAUUGUAGGCUGCAUUGUGGGUUAUUUGAUAGGCCAGCACCGUUAAAAAGACGCAUAACUCGGCUUUGCCUUUCAGGUUAUGCAUACAAAUUGAAAACAUUUAAUCGAAAUGGAGAUAGAUUGGCUGAUCACAUUUGUUGUUGGCUGCUUGGUGGGAUACUUGUUGGCCAGGAAUACCUAGAGUAAGAUGAAUCCUUAAAGAACUAACGGAUCUCCUUUACAAAUCUGAAUUUGCCAAAGAACACCUUGAACGCUCGUGAACAUCAAAAUCUCUCCUGAAGUGCUAGCAAUUUUUUUCUUGUGGAGUUUACUUAUCUUUCGGGAUCAAGAGUCGCAAAUCCUUUCGGAUUAUCCCAAUCCGAAUUAAAGAAGCAAAAUGAGCCACGUUAUCUCAUUUGCCUUGGGCGUGAUUAUUGGAAUGAUGUCCUGCCGAAAAUGCUAACCCCUUAAAAUGUUAUCUAAAUUUGCUUAAUAAUGCUUAAUAAAUAUUAAAGCUUAUAAAAAAA
Long non-coding RNA from Drosophila ficusphila, 690 nucleotides. RefSeq lists it as uncharacterized. The record is from RefSeq and is a predicted model, not a curated record. The transcript is spliced from 2 exons. NCBI's taxonomy places the organism in Eukaryota, Metazoa, Arthropoda, Insecta, Diptera, Drosophilidae.